GGCAGUUCUCGGGUAACACGCCCCAGAAUCGGGCUCCCUCCUCUCUGGUUCCGGGUGUGUCACCUGAGAACUGCA
Non-coding RNA from Myotis davidii, 75 nucleotides. The record is from Rfam. NCBI's taxonomy places the organism in Eukaryota, Metazoa, Chordata, Mammalia, Chiroptera, Vespertilionidae.